Pseudophryne corroboree (corroboree frog) is the source of this 1000-nucleotide long non-coding RNA. RefSeq lists it as uncharacterized. The record is from RefSeq and is a predicted model, not a curated record. The transcript is spliced from 3 exons. Lineage: Eukaryota; Metazoa; Chordata; Amphibia; Anura; Myobatrachidae.
CCCCUCCUGGAGAGGGUCAUGUUGGGAGGUAUGCUGUAAGAGCUGUGCUGCACUGGAAUCCAGAACCUCUCACCGCACAAGCGGCUUACGGGGCAACACUGCGGAUCGUCGGGACAACAACACAGGCAGAAGGCACAGACCGGUGGUCAGCUUGGAGAAUGAUGCAGUGUGUCGUGACGUCACAACACAAUCUCGUCUUUCCGCAAAACUCUGCCCCCCGAGCUGAGUACUCAGGAGGAGGGGAAGCCAAGCCGGCCGGCGCCGCAAAGAGGAGGGAGAGGCGGUGAAGAGCGGGAAGAACCGCUUCAACCAUUCACCAAGAAGUAGCGGAGAGUGUUUACUUCAUUCUUCAGAUGUUGCCAGGAUGGAACUCGGUGGCUGAGAUGAUACUCCAGACAGCCUGGGUCAUCUUGCUGGAGGUGCAGAAGGACCUACAAAAAACAGCUAAAGAAAAAUACUGAAUACAACAAAAAAUAUUAUUGAUUCAAGAAAUACAACAUUUUCAACAUACAGUAAUUACCAGAUUCUUCCUCAUCAGCAGCAUCAUGCUGUGGGACUAAUUCAGAUUUGUACGUAAACCUUAUAGUUUACAAACAACUCCGAUUGUGUAGGGUUUGUGCAGGCACAAGUCCUGUUCUGAGCAUGUGCACAAUGGGUCUUGCGACAUCACUUGUAGCCCCAGGAUAUCCUCAUUUUGUAGGUGUGAUGGACCCAGGUUCUGCGGCAUUGGACGCAGUCUUACUGGUCCCUUAUGUCUAGAUCCAAUGGCCAGCCUGAGUAUGCUUUAACUUACCUAAAACAUUGUGAAUUGUGACCUAUGGUCACUAUGGUGAUCCAAGGCUGCAUCCUCAGAUGAAGAACUUGAUAUUGCAAAUGUAUGUAGGAGGCAUCUAUUUAUUACACCGCCUCAUGCUGCCUUUGCAUUUUAAUUACACAGCAUUGCAUAGCCGCUUCCUUGCAGCUAUGAGUACCUUAAAAACAGGAAUUAUGCCCUGUGUAC